Molecule: ribosomal RNA, 445 nt
Filed under: uncultured bacterium
Lineage: Bacteria
Description: partial 16S ribosomal RNA
Rfam family: Bacterial small subunit ribosomal RNA
Source: RNAcentral
GUGAGGAAUAUUGCGCAAUGGAGGCAACUCUGACGCAGCCAUGCCGCGUGCAGGAAGAAGGCGCUACGCGUUGUAAACUGCUUUUAACCGGGAAGAAACCCCAGGACGUGUCCUGGGUUGACGGUACCGGAGGAAUAAGCACCGGCUAACUUCGUGCCAGCAGCCGCGGUAAUACGAAGGGUGCAAGCGUUAUCCGGAUUCAUUGGGUUUAAAGGGUGCGUAGGCGGAGCGUUAAGUCAGUGGUGAAAUGCAGCAGCUUAACUGUAGACUUGCCAGUGAUACUGGCGCUCUUGAGUGCGCUUGAAGUGGGCGGAAUGUGCCGUGUAGCGGUGAAAUGCUUAGAUAUGGCACAGAACACCAAUUGCGAAGGCAGCUCACUAAGGCGAUACUGACGCUGAGGCACGAAAGCGUGGGGAUCGAACAGGAUUAGAUACCCUGGUAGUCC